This 889-nucleotide non-coding RNA is filed under the name Brunneifusus ternatanus. Lineage: Eukaryota; Metazoa; Mollusca; Gastropoda; Neogastropoda; Melongenidae. The record is from RNAcentral.
AGUAAGCUUGGCUCUGACUUAUUAGUAUAGCAAGAAUUAAAGAAUACACAUGGUUUUUAUUGAGAUAGGCGAGGUAAAAGAGACUAGUAAUUAAGUUGACAACUUAAUAAUUCUAUUUUCUUUUAAAGUAUUAUAGAUUUAAAAAAUGCUUUGAAAAGUCCCGCUAACACCAGUGUUGAAGGUUAAGUUAAAGAGUGAAAACUUGAAUUAAUUUAGUUACAUUAAAUCUGGUCAACUUGGUGCCAGCAUCCGCGGUUAGACCAAGAGAUUAAGUUAUAUAAAUAGGUAAAAAAGACAGUUAUACUUAAAUAAUUAUAUUUAGUUUAUAAACUUAUUUAUAUAAAGGUGAAAUUUGAAUAUAAAUAGUAAAAAUAAGCAUAACUAACUUAGGUAGAAGCUGUGAUAGUUCUGAGGGAAACUGGGAUUAGAUACCCCACUAUUCUUAACUGUAAAUUCAAUUAGAUUUACCAGAGUACUAUGAAUCAAAUAAAAUUUAAAACUUAAAGAGCUUGGCGGUGUUUUAGACCUAUCAGGGGAACCUGUCUCAUAAUCGACAGUCCACGUUAGACCUAACCUCCUUUAGUAAUCAGCCUGUAUACCGUCGUCGCCAGGUAACUUUUAAAAAAUUAGAAGUCAGCUAUUACAAUCUUGUAAAUUAAGACGUCAGAUCAAGGUGCAGCUAAUAAAGAGGAAGAGAUGGGUUACAAUUAUGUAUUUAUAACUACGAAAAAUUACAUGAAAAAUAAUUAGAAGGAGGACUUGAAAGUAAAGUAUAUUACAUAAGCAGUUUGAAUAAGGCUCUGAAACGUGCACACAUCGCCCGUCGCUCUCGUUGAAAAAUGAGAUAAGUCGUAACAUAGCAGGGGUAAUGGAAAUUGUCCCUAGAUGG